GAAUGGCUGAAUGCCAUGUAUUUCUAUCAGUAAUUCACACAGCCAGACACCAGCAAAGCAGAGUCUUUCUUUAAGGUGACUGGUGCACUGUUUUCUAUGAUAUAUCACUAAAAGUAUGUACAAAG
Molecule: small nucleolar RNA, 125 nt
Organism: Grammomys surdaster
Lineage: Eukaryota; Metazoa; Chordata; Mammalia; Rodentia; Muridae
Product: small nucleolar RNA SNORA15
Exons: 1
Source: RefSeq, a predicted model, not a curated record